AUUCCAGCUCCAAUAGUGUAUAUUAAAGUUGUUGCAGUUAAAAAGCUCGUAGUUGGAUUUCUGGCGGGAGCGAUCGGUCCUUCACUCAGUGUUGGAACCUGAUUGUCUCCUGCCAUCCAUGGAGAAAACUUAUCUGGCAUUAAGUUGUCGGGUAGGCAAUCUCCAUCUUUUACUGUGAAAAAAUUAGAGUGUUCAAAGCAGGCUUAUGCCGUUGAAUAUAUUAGCAUGGAAUAAUAAGAUAGGACUAUGGUACUAUUUUGUUGGUUUAUGGGAUCGAAGUAAUGAUUAACAGGGACAGUUGGGGCCGUUUAUAUUUCGUUGUCAGAGGUGAAAUUCUCGGAUUUACGAAAGAUAAACUUCUGCGAAAGCAUUCGGCAAGGAUGUUUUCAUCA
Molecule: ribosomal RNA, 392 nt
Filed under: Rhizosolenia sp.
Lineage: Eukaryota; Bacillariophyta; Coscinodiscophyceae; Rhizosoleniales; Rhizosoleniaceae
Description: partial small subunit ribosomal RNA
Rfam family: Eukaryotic small subunit ribosomal RNA
Source: RNAcentral